RNAcentral lists this ribosomal RNA (982 nucleotides) under human gut metagenome. Its description in RNAcentral is "bacterial LSU rRNA". It matches the Rfam family "Bacterial large subunit ribosomal RNA", at positions 1942 to 2925 of the family's 2925-position model. The record is from RNAcentral.
AUAACGGUCCUAAGGUAGCGAAAUUCCUUGUCAGGUAAGUUCUGACCCGCACGAAAGGCGUAACGAUUUGGGCGCUGUCUCGGCAGCAGACUCGGUGAAAUCUUAGUACCUGUGAAAAUGCAGGUUACCCGCAACUAGACGGAAAGACCCCAUGGAGCUUUACUGCAGCCUGAUAUUGAGUUUCGAUCAGAGAUGUACAGGAUAGGUGGGAGACAAAGAGACAUGCACGCCAGUGUAUGAGGAGUCGCUGUUGGGAUACCACUCUUGUCUGAUUGGAAUUCUAACCUGCAUCCCUAAGCGGGAUGAGGGACCGUGUCAGGUGGGCAGUUUGACUGGGGCGGUCGCCUCCCAAAGAGUAACGGAGGCGCCCAAAGGUACGCUCAGAUUGGAUGGAAAUCAAUCGACGAGUGCAAAUGCAGAAGCGUGCUUGACUGCGAGACAAACAGGUCGAGCAGGGACGAAAGUCGGGAUUAGUGAUCCGGCGGUGCCGAAUGGAAGGGCCGUCGCUCAACGGAUAAAAGCUACCCUGGGGAUAACAGGCUGAUCUCGCCCAAGAGUUCACAUCGACGGCGAGGUUUGGCACCUCGAUGUCGGCUCAUCGCAUCCUGGAGCUGAAUUCGGUUCCAAGGGUUGGGCUGUCCGCCCAUUAAAGCGGUACGCGAGCUGGGUUCAGAACGUCGUGAGACAGUUCGGUCCCUAUCUGUUGUGGGCGAAGGAGAUUUGAGGAGAGCUGUCCUUAGUACGAGAGGACCGGGAUGGACCUACCGCUGGUGCACCGGUUGUUCCGCCAGGAGCAUAGCCGGGUAGCUAAGUAGGGAAGGGAUAAGCGCUGAAAGCAUCUAAGCGCGAAGCCUACUCCAAGAUGAGAUCUCCCAUUCGCAAGAAGUAAGACCCCUUGAAGACGACGAGGUAGAUAGGUCAGGGAUGGAAGCAUAGCGAUAUGUGAAGUUGACUGAUACUAAUAGGUCGAGGACUUAAUCAC